GGCUUUAAAGCUCAGUUGGUUAGAGUGUCACACCGAUAUCGCAAGGUCACAGAAUCAAACCCUGUUGAAGUCC
This 73-nucleotide transfer RNA is filed under the name Acropora cervicornis. RNAcentral's name for it is "tRNA-OTHER". It matches the Rfam family "tRNA". Rfam says of the family: Transfer RNA (tRNA) molecules are approximately 80 nucleotides in length. Their secondary structure includes four short double-helical elements and three loops (D, anti-codon, and T loops). Further hydrogen bonds mediate the characteristic L-shaped molecular structure. tRNAs have two regions of fundamental functional importance: the anti-codon, which is responsible for specific mRNA codon recognition, and the 3' end, to which the tRNAs corresponding amino acid is attached (by aminoacyl-tRNA synthetases). tRNAs cope with the degeneracy of the genetic code in two manners: having more than one tRNA (with a specific anti-codon) for a particular amino acid; and 'wobble' base-pairing, i.e. permitting non-standard base-pairing at the 3rd anti-codon position. Lineage: Eukaryota; Metazoa; Cnidaria; Anthozoa; Scleractinia; Acroporidae. The record is from RNAcentral.